UUUUGACUUUUGGCUUUACUUUUCUUCUCAUUUGAUGGUUCCUUUUCAGUGAUGCUUCCAUUUAUCAUCUCGUACUUCAUUGAUGGUAGGCCAGAGCUUCCUAUAAUGGUUGUUUCUUCCUUGAACUCUUCGUCUCCAAACUCGUAUCCGGUUUCUUCCAGAAUUUUUGUGACGAUAUUUUCGUAUGGAAUGUAUGCUUAUUCU
This 204-nucleotide long non-coding RNA is filed under the name Lathyrus oleraceus (garden pea). RNAcentral describes it as "Pisum sativum (pea) long non-coding RNA (PSAT_LNC022902)". The record is from RNAcentral. Lineage: Eukaryota; Viridiplantae; Streptophyta; Magnoliopsida; Fabales; Fabaceae.